Molecule: small nuclear RNA, 134 nt
Organism: Lutra lutra (Eurasian river otter)
Lineage: Eukaryota; Metazoa; Chordata; Mammalia; Carnivora; Mustelidae
Product: U4 spliceosomal RNA
Exons: 1
Source: RefSeq, a predicted model, not a curated record
AGCUUUGCGCAGUGGCGGCAUCGUAGCCAAUGAGGUUUAUCUGAGGAGCGGUAUUGCUAAUUGAAAAAUAUGAUUCGUUUUGCAGGUUGAAUAUUAAGGUAAAGUAAAAAUGACUGGGAACAUUUAUUAGCAAA